AAAUCUAUGCUAUUCAUUUUAUUUAUAUUUUUAUAUAAAUUGAAUACUAUCGGUAACAAACGGACUCUAUUGUGACCUAUUUAUUUUUUAUGAUGGAGCUUCCAAAUCGACGAUCGGCACUGUUGAACAUGAUCUAUACCACUUGCAGUAUCUAUAAAUCAAAUUUUAUACUUUUCUGAUAUUGUUCUCUAUCCAUCAAGUGGAUAUAAAAAUGAACGGCUGAAAACGCAUAUCCUCUAAAAAAUGAUGAUAGAAAUUUUGUAAUCAAGAUCGAGAGUAUAGAGUUUGUUCUAAAUAGUUUUAAAAAUUUUCUAUUCAAAAUCCAAUUGAUUUGGAUUGUUUUAUACCUUUAAACAAGAAAACGCCUUAUAUUUACCAUUAAAAUUACAAAUUUUAAAACACUCUGAUCAUUAGAGCAAUAAUCUCGAAAAGAUUUAAAACUUGGUUUUGAAAUACUUCAAAUGGUAUAGAUUAUGCUCAACAAUGCCGUUCAUCGAUUUGAAGGCUUUUAUUAUUAAAAAUAAAUAGAUAGCAACAGAAUUCAUUUGCUACUGAUAGGAUUCCAGCACAAAUCUUUUGAAAGUGGAACUGGUGAAGGUGGUGACCGGGGAGGAACAAGAU
Molecule: long non-coding RNA, 621 nt
Filed under: Ananas comosus (pineapple)
Lineage: Eukaryota; Viridiplantae; Streptophyta; Magnoliopsida; Poales; Bromeliaceae
Description: long non-coding RNA (ACOM_LNC020516)
Source: RNAcentral